RNAcentral lists this ribosomal RNA (498 nucleotides) under uncultured bacterium. RNAcentral's name for it is "partial 16S ribosomal RNA". It matches the Rfam family "Bacterial small subunit ribosomal RNA", at positions 28 to 507 of the family's 1533-position model. The record is from RNAcentral.
GACGAACGCUGGCGGCGUGCCUAAUACAUGCAAGCCGAGCGGACGGAUGGGAGCUUGCUCCCAGACCGUCAGCGGCGGCGGGGGGAGUAACAGGGGGGCAACCUGCCUGUAAGUCUGGGAUAACUCCGGGAAACCGGGGCUAAUACCGGAUAACUCUUUCCCUCCCAUGAGGGGAAGCUGAAAGAUGGCAUCUCGCUAUCACUUACAGGUGGGCCCGCGGCGCAUGAGCUAGUUGGGGAGAUAAAGGCUUACCAAGGCGACGAUGCGUAGCCGACCUGAGAGGGUGAUCGGCCACACUGGAACUGAGACACGGCCCAGGCUCCUACGGGAGGCAGCAGUAGGGAAUCUUCCGCAAUGGACGAAAGUCUGACGGAGCAACGCCGCGUGAGUGAUGAAGGUUUUCGGAUCGUAAAGCUCUGUUGUCAGGGAAGAACAAGUACCGGAGUAACUGCCGGUACCUUGACGGUACCUGAUCAGAAAGCCACGGCUAACUACGUG